UAGCUAGUUGGUGAGGUAAAGGCUUACCAAGGCGACGAUCUGUAGCGGGUCUGAGAGGAUGAUCCGCCACACUGGAACUGAGACACGGUCCAGACUCCUACGGGAGGCAGCAGUGGGGAAUUUUGGACAAUGGGGGCAACCCUGAUCCAGCCAUGCCGCGUGAGUGAAGAAGGCCUUCGGGUUGUAAAGCUCUUUCGGCCGGGAAGAAAUCGCAUGGGCCAAUACCCUGUGUGGAUGACGGUACCGGAAUAAGAAGCACCGGCUAACUACGUGCCAGCAGCCGCGGUAAUACGUAGGGUGCGAGCGUUAAUCGGAAUUACUGGGCGUAAAGCGUGCGCAGGCGGUUUUGUAAGACAGGCGUGAAAUCCCCGGGCUUAACCUGGGAACUGCGUUUGUGACUGCAAGGCUAGAGUACGGCAGAGGGGGGUGGAAUUCCACGUGUAGCAGUGAAAUGCGUAGAGAUGUGGAGGAACACCAAUGGCGAAGGCAGCCCCCUGGGUCGAUACUGACGCUCAUGCACGAAAGCGUGGGUAGCAAACAGGAUUAGAUACCCUGGUAGUCCACGCCCUAAACUAUGUCAACUAGGUGUUGGGUGGGUAAAACCAUUUAGUACCGUAGCUAACGCGUGAAGUUGACCGCCUGGGGAGUACGGCCGCAAGGUUAAAACUCAAAGGAAUUGACGGGGACCCGCACAAGCGGUGGAUGAUGUGGAUUAAUUCGAUGCAACGCGAAAAACCUUACCUACCCUUGACAUGCCAGGAACUUGCCAGAGAUGGCUUGGUGCCCGAAAGGGAGCCUGGACACAGGUGCUGCAUGGCUGUCGUCAGCUCGUGUCGUGAGAUGUUGGGUUAAGUCCCGCAACGAGCGCAACCCUUGUCGUUAAUUGCCAUCAUUUAGUUGGGCACUUUAACGAGACUGCCGGUGACAAACCGGAGGAAGGUGGGGAUGACGUCAAGUCCUCAUGGCCCUUAUGGGUAGGGCUUCACACGUCAUACAAUGGUCGGUACAAAGGGUUGCCAAGCCGCGAGGCGGAGCCAAUCCCAGAAAGCCGAUCGUAGUCCGGAUUGCAGGCUGCAACUCGCCUGCAUGAAGUCGGAAUCGCUAGUAAUCGUGGAUCAGCAUGUCACGGUGAAUACGUUCCCGGGUCUUGUACACACCGCCCGUCACACCAUGGGAGCGGGUUCCGCCAGAAGUAGGUAGCCUAACCGCAAGGGGGCGCUUACCACGGCGGGGUUCGUGACUGGGGUGAAGUCGGAACAAGGUAGCCGUAGGGGAACCUGCGGCUG
Molecule: ribosomal RNA, 1286 nt
Filed under: metagenome
Description: bacterial SSU rRNA
Rfam family: Bacterial small subunit ribosomal RNA
Source: RNAcentral